This 427-nucleotide ribosomal RNA is filed under the name uncultured bacterium. Its description in RNAcentral is "partial 16S ribosomal RNA". It matches the Rfam family "Bacterial small subunit ribosomal RNA", at positions 355 to 774 of the family's 1533-position model. The record is from RNAcentral.
UAGGGAAUCUUCCGCAAUGGACGAAAGUCUGACGGAGCAACGCCGCGUGAGUGAUGAAGGUUUUCGGAUCGUAAAACUCUGUUAUUAGGGAAGAACAAAUGCGUAAGUAACUGUGCGCAUCUUGACGGUACCUAAUCAGAAAGCCACGGCUAACUACGUGCCAGCAGCCGCGGUAAUACGUAGGUGGCAAGCGUUAUCCGGAAUUAUUGGGCGUAAAGCGCGCGGAGGCGGUUUCUUAAGUCUGAUGUGAAAGCCCACGGCUCAACCGUGGAGGGUCAUUGGAAACUGGGAAACUUGAGUACAGAAGAGGAAAGUGGAAUUCCAUGUGUAGCGGUGAAAUGCGCAGAGAUAUGGAGGAACACCAGUGGCGAAGGCGACUUUCUGGUCUGUAACUGACGCUGAUGUGCGAAAGCGUGGGGAUCAAACA